RNAcentral lists this long non-coding RNA (255 nucleotides) under Phoenix dactylifera (date palm). RNAcentral's name for it is "long non-coding RNA (PDAC_LNC021234)". Lineage: Eukaryota; Viridiplantae; Streptophyta; Magnoliopsida; Arecales; Arecaceae. The record is from RNAcentral.
AAUGUUCCUAAGGGUUCGUUCUAUUUCAGGGUCAAAAGGUAAUAGGUUUUGUACUCUAGAACGACUACCGUGCAUACACUAGUACUCGAUUAAUCAAGCAUGCAAUAAAAGAGAAAAGCAUAUCAAUCCUAGUCUUUGUCCUAAAAUCACUAGACAGCUCCUAACUGGUUUGAAGAGGGCACCUAAGCCUCCAAUCCGGUCUAAUGAACCGAGUUGACCAGGUAAGCUCCCAGGUAAGUGGAGGGGUCACGAUGC